UGCCAGACUCCUACGGGAGGCAGCAGUGGGGAAUAUUGCACAAUGGGGGAAACCCUGAUGCAGCGACGCCGCGUGAGUGAAGAAGUAUUUCGGUAUGUAAAGCUCUAUCAGCAGGGAAGAAAAUGACGGUACCUGACUAAGAAGCCCCGGCUAACUACGUGCCAGCAGCCGCGGUAAUACGUAGGGGGCAAGCGUUAUCCGGAUUUACUGGGUGUAAAGGGAGCGUAGACGGCUGUGCAAGCCAGAUGUGAAAGCCCGGGGCUCAACCCCGGGACUGCAUUUGGAACUGUGUGGCUGGAGUGUCGGAGAGGCAGGCGGAAUUCCUAGUGUAGCGGUGAAAUGCGUAGAUAUUAGGAGGAACACCAGUGGCGAAGGCGGCCUGCUGGACGAUGACUGACGUUGAGGCUCGAAAGCGUGGGGAGCAAACGGGAUUAGAUACCCCAGUAAC
This 448-nucleotide ribosomal RNA is filed under the name uncultured bacterium. RNAcentral's name for it is "partial 16S ribosomal RNA". It matches the Rfam family "Bacterial small subunit ribosomal RNA", at positions 329 to 794 of the family's 1533-position model. The record is from RNAcentral.